GGGGGCGGGGCUAAGAGAAAAGGAGGUAAAGGCAGUUUCGAGGGGAGGGGGCCAGGCGAAGGAGUGGACCUGGUGGAGCCAUGACUAGAUCGAAAGAGAGGAGAGUGGACUUGGUUAAUUAGAGGGGCUGAGCAGGGACCUACUCCAAGUUCUAGGCAGGUUCCGAUGUACCGUUAGGCCCAAGUCUGCACUACCACUUUCGGUUUCUGGGUUCCUGCCGCUAAGCUGCCUUUGGGCCUGCCCUGGCAGCAGAGCCCCUUCUUCCUACAGAACGAUCCUCAAACAGGAGCCCCCAGGCCUGGACACGACCGCCCUUCAGGGUUUGUGAGGAUGCAGCCUUGACCCGUCCAUCCCUUCUGUGAACUCAUCCCCUCCAGAAACCCACAGACCCAGAGACAGGCCUCCUGAAAUCACCCCAGGAUACUGCCAUUAUUUUGGGGUUUCUACUUACCAAAAAUGUUCCUGGGCUUGAAUGGAUCUCUUUGUGCAAGGAGCAGAAGGAAUGAACAUAAGUUGGAGUGGAUGGGACAUUGUUAAGGGGUCCUCAGGCUCCUCCCUCCAUAAAGGAGAUCUGGUAUCAUUUCAAGGGCAGUUCUCAGUGAUUGGACCUGCAGGACCCAUCCACGCCUCACUUGGGGGAGAGGCAGAGUUACCAUGUUACCUGUCCCCACCUCAGAGUGCUCAGCAUAUGGAGGUGGUCUGGUUCCAAUCCACUUGGGUGGUACAUCUCUAUCGAGAUUGAGAAGAUCAGUUUGGAGACCAGGACCCUCAUUACCAAGGGAGGACAGAGUUGGUGAGAGAUGCUAUCACAAGUGGGAAUGUCACCCUGAAGAUACUGGAUGUGAGAUUCUUGGAUGCAGGAAAGUACAUGUGUCUCAUUGGAGAUGAUUUUCACCAAGAGCAAGCUGAUGUGGAGCUGAAGGUCUUAGGUGAAGAAAGCAUGUUUAUGUGCAUAUAUGGGUGGGUAGGUAGAGACUUCCUUACCAGUUCUGUGAUUCUAGGAAUCACAGGAUGUCCUGGUUGAAAGGGACCCCCCACACCAUUUACUCCAAUACCUCUCUGAACAAGAAAUGUCUCUUUACAUGCCCAAUAGGUACCUAUUUUCAUUUGGCCUGAAUUCUUGGUCUCUCACCUGGUGCCUUGUAAAUGGAAGAUAAUUAAUGAAUGCUUGUUGAAUUUAAUAGAGCUUCCAGCCUUUACUUAAAGACUUUUAAUGAGAAGUCAUACUACUUUCCUGGAGGAGGCAGCCCUUUCCACUUCUGGAUAAAUUUCAUCAUGAAGAAGUUUUUGUUGACAUCAAACUUAAAUCAUCCUGUCUACAAUUUUCACCCAUUGCUAUUAGUUCUGUCCCAGAGGGACAAUCAGAAUGAAUGUAAUCCAUUUUCCAAAGCCUAGUUCUUCAAACCUGCAAACAGUUAUCAUGCCCUGGCUAAGUCUUCUCUCUUCCAGGCUAUGACAAUUACCACACUGAAAGAAUGAGAAUGUUAAACUUUACCAGUUUUGUUUUUGGCAUAAUCUCAAAGCUGUAUGACUUCUGGCAAAUUUUUGCAAGGGCUCUAGCCCCCAGACACCCUGAUAGUGUCUUUUGAAGUUCACAAGAUUGUACCCACCUCCACCAGAAACAGAAGCAACAGCACAACCAGAUCUUCUCAGUUUCAAGCUAGCUCUGAGUGAAAAAAAGCCCCAAUUCCCUGUGCUACCUAGAGGCCCACAGCAGCUAUUUCUUCUUCUGAAAUACUAGU
Vombatus ursinus (common wombat) is the source of this 1742-nucleotide long non-coding RNA. NCBI's taxonomy places the organism in Eukaryota, Metazoa, Chordata, Mammalia, Diprotodontia, Vombatidae. The record is from Ensembl.